GGAAGUGGGGGGGUGCUUACACAUGCAGUCGAACGAUGAUCAGGAGCUUGCUCCUGUGAUUAGUGGCGAACGGGUGAGUAACACGUGAGUAACCUGCCCCUGACUCUGGGAUAAGCGUUGGAAACGACGUCUAAUACUGGAUACGACUGCCGGCCGCAUGGUCUGGUGGUGGAAAGAUUUUUUGGUUGGGGAUGGACUCGCGGCCUAUCAGCUUGUUGGUGAGGUAAUGGCUCACCAAGGCGACGACGGGUAGCCGGCCUGAGAGGGUGACCGGCCACACUGGGACUGAGACACGGCCCAGACUCCUACGGGAGGCAGCAGUGGGGAAUAUUGCACAAUGGGCGAAAGCCUGAUGCAGCAACGCCGCGUGAGGGAUGACGGCCUUCGGGUUGUAAACCUCUUUUAGUAGGGAAGAAGCGAAAGUGACGGUACCUGCAGAAAAAGCACCGGCUAACUACGUGCCAGCAGCCGCGGUAAUACGUAGGGUGCAAGCGUUGUCCGGAAUUAUUGGGCGUAAAGAGCUCGUAGGCGGUUUGUCGCGUCUGCUGUGAAAUCCCGAGGCUCAACCUCGGGCUUGCAGUGGGUACGGGCAGACUAGAGUGCGGUAGGGGAGAUUGGAAUUCCUGGUGUAGCGGUGGAAUGCGCAGAUAUCAGGAGGAACACCGAUGGCGAAGGCAGAUCUCUGGGCCGUAACUGACGCUGAGGAGCGAAAGCGUGGGGAGCGAACAGGAUUAGAUACCCUGGUAGUCCACGCCGUAAACGUUGGGCGCUAGAUGUAGGGACCUUUCCACGGUUUCUGUGUCGUAGCUAACGCAUUAAGCGCCCCGCCUGGGGAGUACGGCCGCAAGGCUAAAACUCAAAGGAAUUGACGGGGGCCCGCACAAGCGGCGGAGCAUGCGGAUUAAUUCGAUGCAACGCGAAGAACCUUACCAAAGGCUUGACAUACACCCGGAAACGC
This 958-nucleotide ribosomal RNA is filed under the name Curtobacterium sp. RNAcentral's name for it is "bacterial SSU rRNA". It matches the Rfam family "Bacterial small subunit ribosomal RNA", at positions 31 to 999 of the family's 1533-position model. Lineage: Bacteria; Bacillati; Actinomycetota; Actinomycetes; Micrococcales; Microbacteriaceae. The record is from RNAcentral.